AGUGAACGCUGGCGGUAGGCCUAACACAUGCAAGUCGAACGGCAGCACAGUAAGAGCUUGCUCUUACGGGUGGCGAGAGGCGGAAGGGUGAGAAAUACAUCGGAAUCUACUUUUUCGUGGGGGAUAAGGUAGGGAAACUUACGCUAAUACCGCAUACGACCUACGGGUGAAAGCAGGGGAUCUUCCGACCUUUCGCGAUUGAAUGAGCCGAUGUCGGAUUAGCUAGUUGGCGGGGUAAAGGCCUACCAAGGCGACGAUCCGUAGCUGGUCUGAGAGGAUGAUCAGCCACACUGGGACUGAGACACGGUCCAGACUCCUACGGGAGGCAGCAGUGGGGAAUUUUGGACAAUGGGCGCAAGCCUGAUCCAGCCAUACCGCGUGUGUGAAGAAGGCCUUCGGGUUGUAAAGCCCUUUUGUUGGGAAAGAAAAGCAGCAGGUUAAUACCCCGCUGUUCUGACGGUACCCAAAGAAUAAGCACCGGCUAACUUCGUG
This 492-nucleotide ribosomal RNA is filed under the name uncultured bacterium. RNAcentral describes it as "partial 16S ribosomal RNA". It matches the Rfam family "Bacterial small subunit ribosomal RNA", at positions 29 to 507 of the family's 1533-position model. The record is from RNAcentral.